RNAcentral lists this transfer RNA (68 nucleotides) under Marmota monax (woodchuck). RNAcentral describes it as "tRNA.Ala". The stretch from base 5 to 65 matches the Rfam family "tRNA", at positions 6 to 65 of the family's 71-position model. Rfam says of the family: Transfer RNA (tRNA) molecules are approximately 80 nucleotides in length. The record is from RNAcentral. Lineage: Eukaryota; Metazoa; Chordata; Mammalia; Rodentia; Sciuridae.
GGAUUGUGGCUUAGUGGUAGAGCACUUGCCUAGCAUGUGUGAGGCACUGGGUUCAAUUCUCAGCACCA